This 436-nucleotide ribosomal RNA is filed under the name Lactobacillus delbrueckii. RNAcentral's name for it is "bacterial SSU rRNA". It matches the Rfam family "Bacterial small subunit ribosomal RNA", at positions 62 to 477 of the family's 1533-position model. The record is from RNAcentral. Lineage: Bacteria; Bacillati; Bacillota; Bacilli; Lactobacillales; Lactobacillaceae.
UCGAGCGAGCUGAAUUCAAAGAUUCCUUUGGGAUGAUUUGUUGGACGCUAGCGGCGGAUGGGUGAGUAACACGUGGGCAAUCUGCCCUAAAGACUGGGAUACCACUUGGAAACAGGUGCUAAUACCGGAUAACAACAUGAAUCGCAUGAUUCAAGUUUGAAAGGCGGCGCAAGCUGUCACUUUAGGAUGAGCCCGCGGCGCAUUAGCUAGUUGGUGGGGUAAAGGCCUACCAAGGCAAUGAUGCGUAGCCGAGUUGAGAGACUGAUCGGCCACAUUGGGACUGAGACACGGCCCAAACUCCUACGGGAGGCAGCAGUAGGGAAUCUUCCACAAUGGACGCAAGUCUGAUGGAGCAACGCCGCGUGAGUGAAGAAGGUCUUCGGAUCGUAAAGCUCUGUUGUUGGUGAAGAAGGAUAGAGGCAGUAACUGGUCUUUA